Molecule: transfer RNA, 77 nt
Filed under: Candidatus Saccharimonadota bacterium
Lineage: Bacteria; Candidatus Saccharimonadota
Description: tRNA-Ala
Rfam family: tRNA
About the family: Transfer RNA (tRNA) molecules are approximately 80 nucleotides in length. Their secondary structure includes four short double-helical elements and three loops (D, anti-codon, and T loops).
Source: RNAcentral
GGGGCGUUAGCUCAGUUGGCUAGAGCACCUGCUUUGCAAGCAGGGGGUCCAGGGUUCGAGUCCCUGACGCUCCACCA